RNAcentral lists this ribosomal RNA (487 nucleotides) under uncultured bacterium. Its description in RNAcentral is "bacterial SSU rRNA". It matches the Rfam family "Bacterial small subunit ribosomal RNA", at positions 28 to 507 of the family's 1533-position model. The record is from RNAcentral.
GAUGAACGCUAGCGGGAGGCUUAACACAUGCAAGUCGAGGGGCAGCAUAGGGUAGCAAUACUCUGAUGGCGACCGGCAAACGGGUGAGUAACGCGUAUGCAACCUACCCUGUACAGGGGGAUAACCCGGAGAAAUUCGGACUAAUAUCCCGUAAUAAUAUCUGGAGGCAUCUUUGGAUAUUUAAAGUUCCGACGGUACGGGAUGGGCAUGCGUAACAUUAGCUGGUUGGUAAGGUAACGGCUUACCAAGGCUAUGAUGUUUAGGGGUCCUGAGAGGGUGGUCCCCCACACUGGUACUGAGACACGGACCAGACUCCUACGGGAGGCAGCAGUGAGGAAUAUUGGUCAAUGGGCGCAAGCCUGAACCAGCCAUCCCGCGUGCAGGAAGACGGCCCUAUGGGUUGUAAACUGCUUUUCCAGGGAGAGAAACUUACGCACGUGUUGCGUGACUGACGGUACCCUGGGAAUAAGCAUCGGCUAACUCCGUG